Molecule: ribosomal RNA, 576 nt
Filed under: Stethelmis sp. 2 MF-2023a
Lineage: Eukaryota; Metazoa; Arthropoda; Insecta; Coleoptera; Elmidae
Description: partial large subunit ribosomal RNA
Rfam family: Bacterial large subunit ribosomal RNA
Source: RNAcentral
AUAUAAGAUUUAACCUGCCCGCUGAGAUAUUGAAUGGCCGCGGUAUUUUGACCGUGCAAAGGUAGCAUAAUAAUUAGUUUUUUGAUUGAAAGCUGGAAUGAAUGGUUGGACGAGAAAAUUACUGUCUCUGAUUAAUUUUUAAUAAAAUUUUAUUUUUAAGUUAAAAAGCUUAAAUUUAAUUAAAAGACGAGAAGACCCUAUAGAGUUUAAUAUUUUAAUAAAAAUUUAAUUUUAGGAAUUUUGAUUUUGUUUUUACAAGAAUAUUUUAUUGGGGUGAUAAAAAGAUAAAAUAAACUCUUUUUUUAUUAAAACAUUUAUAAAUGAAUAUUUGAUCCAAUAUUUUUGAUUAUAAGAAUAAAUUACCUUAGGGAUAACAGCGUAAUCUUUUUAGAGAGUUCUUAUCGAAAUAAGGGAUUGCGACCUCGAUGUUGGAUUAAAGUUAAUUUUUGGUGUAGAAGCUAAAAAUAUUAAGUCUGUUCGACUUUUAAAACUUUACAUGAUCUGAGUUUAAACCGGUGUGAGCCAGGUUGGUUUCUAUCUUUAUUAAAAUAUAAUAUUUUAGUACGAAAGGACCAA